RNAcentral lists this long non-coding RNA (207 nucleotides) under Nicotiana benthamiana. RNAcentral's name for it is "long non-coding RNA (NBEN_LNC040153)". Lineage: Eukaryota; Viridiplantae; Streptophyta; Magnoliopsida; Solanales; Solanaceae. The record is from RNAcentral.
CCUCUCCUAUCCAAAUCCUCUCUAACCCUCUCGAAACCCUAGCCUCUCUCAUCGUCUCUUACCUCAAGCUCACCAGAAAUCAUGGCUACUCCGGCCAUGAUAACCUCAUACUCACCUUCUAUUACUCCUGUGUGUUUGGUAUUUGAAGAAUCAGGGUGUUGACCUUAAUGGUUCCCUUUCAGAUCUUCUUAGAUCUGUAGAUCUAUG